UCCCCUCUCCAGCAUGCUGCGGAAAAGUCUGCUACUCCUAUUGAUUUUCCCUUUUUUCCCCCCUGCCUUCCCUAUCAGCACCUGCACCCCCUCCCCAUGUCCACUGUCACCUCUGCCAAGUCAUUAGGAAACAUAACUGAUAUGAUAUUCAUAGAAUACUAAAUAAACUUUACGAGGAGACGCCGUUGCAUGUUCCACCUCCCCUCACCCCCACCCAACCUUUUGAUGCAUGAGAAGCAUGUGUGAAAAAACAAAACUAAUGAUAUAAAAAUUACAAAGCACGCUCUGUGCUAUUACACCUCUAUUGAUUUGUUUUUGAGGUGCACCUAGGCUUAUAAAAGUUGCUGGAGGAGAUUAGAGAGAGAGAGAGAGAACCUACAAAGGAAGAACAGAGACUGAGACAGAAUAAAAGAAAAGAAUAUGCUUUGUUCACAGAUCUGCGCCAGAAUUACAGAUCCACGUGGAUGUUGCAAGCACUUGACAUGGAAGCAAUUCAGGCGACGCGGGCUGAGGCCUGGCCGGGAUUAAAGCUUGGGUGGAGGGAUAUUAAUGUGAAGCGGAGGGGACAAGGGCGCUCCCGUCCAAUUACUCUGUACCUAGUCGCCGCCAUCCGGCCGCAAAACAACAGAGGAGGAAAGGAUUAAUUGCCUUGGACUCUGCCCCCACUACAGGCCCAAUUAUGGAAACAUAUUGGCUCCCAGUGUUGCCACAGACACUGCUGUGCUGGGAUAUUGUGUGAAAUUUCUAACCGUUUCCAGAGGUCAGGACGAGUGGACUGAAGCAGAGGCUGAGAAAAGUGGAAAACAAGCCAAUUGAGUUGCAACGUGUCCCACACCUUAACGCGUGGAGGAAAGCAAAAACUUGGGUCUGUGGAAUUGAUGUUUGCGCACCUGCAGAGCCAUGGCGAUGGCUGCCGUUCAGACACUCUCCCAGCGUUCUGCAGCUUCGGUGACUAAGCACCCUCUCCUCUUGCCCUCGCCCUCCUCCAUGCAUACCCUAAUACACCUGGCUCUUUAGCCUGCGGCAUGAAGCGAUAAUAACAGCAGUGAGUGAGGGGUGUCCGGGUGAAGGAGGGUCCCUUCACGUAAUGGGCGAGGGCUGUCUGCUCCCGUGGACCCUCUGUUCCAGCUUCAUUGAGAUUCCAUUAGGACGGCUGUUGGGGAGUAAGUGGUUGAGGAGGAUGUCCUGCGCCGAGCCACGGGUCCCUCGGUGGGCGGAAGCAGGAGACCAGGAGAGGCAUGCUGGGACUUCAGUUCAUCAGUGUUGGAGUGCCACUGCAUUAUAGCGCGGGCCCCACAGGGGCCUCCUCAUCAUCAGACUGGAGGCCCGGUGCAUUAAUAUCACCCCCUCCCCGACUUUUCAGUACCGGGUCUUCAUCGGGGCAGUCUACAAAACAAUGGCUGAUUCAAACCGAGGCCAGCAUUUCAGCUACAUUAACAAUGUAGCCGCUGCUGAAGCAUGGGUUGAAUUAGAAUCCACCAGGGGGCAUUGUGUCUUCAGUAAUGUUCUCGCAAAUUACCGUAGCGAGGACUGGGACCACUGUGGCUAAUGUGACUCCAGUGAAAUAUUUAUAUGGGUUUUGGGAAGUGCUCUAGGUUCCAGUGAGUGGUCUGUUGGCUUCGGUGAGGAGGAGGAAGAUGAGGAAGAACCUGCCGUCGACCAGAAGAGCCCAGUCCUCGUCUUUAAUUAAGUAUCUGAAACAUCAAUUUAAAUGUAAAUAUCGGUGGCGCAGCUCCACUCAUGCGUAAAUUAGAGCGUUGGCCCGGCACAUUGCGCUCUCUCUCCCAAGUCCCCGCUCACUUACUCUGACAUCUGCUCACAUCUGCUGGGCCCCGGGCUUCCCCAACACACACACACAAAUUAAAAUCGGACUCAUUCUUGUAUCAGUCUAAAUAGUUGCAUUUACAAAUGUUGUAUGGAACAUGUUAUUUGCUUAGACUGGACAUGUACAUAAUGUCACAACUUUUU
Molecule: long non-coding RNA, 1968 nt
Organism: Triplophysa dalaica
Lineage: Eukaryota; Metazoa; Chordata; Actinopteri; Cypriniformes; Nemacheilidae
Exons: 5
Source: RefSeq, a predicted model, not a curated record